AGUUCGAUCAUAUCAGAUUGAACGUUGGCGGGAUGCUUUACACAUGCAAGUCGAACGGCAGCACGGACUUCCGGUCUGGUAUGAGUGGCGAACGGGUGAGUAAUGUAUCGGAACGUGCCUAGUAGCGGGGGAUAACUACGCGAAAGCGUAGCUAAUACUGCAUACGCCCUUCGGGGAAAGCGGGGACCUUCGGGCCUCGCACUAUUAGAACGGCCGAUAUCGGAUUGAAGAAGUUGGUGGUAACGGCUCACCAAGGCGAUGAUCCGUAGCUGGUUUGAGAGGACGACCAGCCACACUGGGACUGGAGACACGGCCCAGACUCCUACGGGAGGCAGCAGUGGGGAAUUUUUGGACACACUUGGGAAACCCUGAUCCAGCCAUCCCGCGUGCGAUGAAGGCCUUCGGGUUGUAAAGCACUUUGGCAGUGGAAAGAAACGGCACGGGAUAAUAACCGCAAAUCUAUUUGCAGCCUGCAGAAUAAGCACCGGCUAACUACGUGCCAGCAGCCGCGGUAAUACGUAGGGGCAAGCGUUAAUCGGAAUUACUGGGCGUAAGCGUGCGCAGGCGGCUGGAAAGAAAGAUGAAACCCGGUGAGCUAACUUGGAACUGCAUUUUUAACUACCGAGCUAGAGUGUGUCAGAGGGAGGUGGAAUUCCGCGUGCAGUGAAAUGCGUAGACAUGCGGAGGAACACCGAUGGCGAAGCGGCAGCCUCCUGGGAUAACACUGACGCUCGAGUGCACGAAAGCGUGGGGAGCAAACAGGAUUAGAUACCCUGUAGUCCACGCCCUAAACGAUGUCAACUAGCUGCUUAGGGGCCUUCGGGCCUGGCAGCAGGCUAACGCGGUGAAGUUGACCGCCUGGGAGGCGUCGCAAGAUUAAAACUCAAAGGAAUUGACGGGACCCGCACAAGCGGUGGAUGAUGAUUUCCUUCUUUCUUCUUCUUCACCCGAUGCAACGCGAAAACCUUACCUACCCUUGACAUGUCUGGAAUCCCGAAGAGAUUUGGGAGUGCUCGCAAGAGAACCGGAACACAGGUGCUUUCGCAUGGCUGUCGUCAGCUCGUGUCAAUGUGAGAUGUUGGGUUAAGUCCCGCAACGAGCGCAACCCUUGUCAUUAGUUGCUACGAAAGCGGCACUCUAAUGAGAUCGCCGAGACAAACCGGAGGAAGGUGGGGAUGACGUCAAGUCCUCAUGGCCCUUAUGGGUAGGGCUUCACACGUCAUACAAUGGUCGGGACAGAGGGUCGCUAACCCGCGAGGGGGAGCCAAUCCCAGAAACCCGAUUUGUAGUCCGAUCGCAGUCUGCAACUCGACUGCGUGAAGUCGGAAUCGCUAGUAAUCGCGGAUCAGCAUGUCGCGGUGAAUACGUUCCCGGGUCUUGUACACACCGCCCGUCACACCAUGGGAGUGGGUUUUACCAGAAGUAGCAGCUUAACCGCAGGAGGGCGAUUACCACGGUAGGAUUCAUGACUGGGGUGAAGUCGUAACAAGGUG
This 1493-nucleotide ribosomal RNA is filed under the name uncultured Bordetella sp. RNAcentral describes it as "partial 16S-23S ribosomal RNA intergenic spacer". It matches the Rfam family "Bacterial small subunit ribosomal RNA". The record is from RNAcentral. Lineage: Bacteria; Pseudomonadati; Pseudomonadota; Betaproteobacteria; Burkholderiales; Alcaligenaceae.